GAGUAGUACUAGGAUGGGUGACCUCCUGGGAAGUCCUCGUGUUGCACUCCU
RNAcentral lists this ribosomal RNA (51 nucleotides) under Chenopodium berlandieri subsp. nuttalliae. Lineage: Eukaryota; Viridiplantae; Streptophyta; Magnoliopsida; Caryophyllales; Amaranthaceae. The record is from RNAcentral.